Strigops habroptila (Kakapo) is the source of this 2780-nucleotide long non-coding RNA. NCBI's taxonomy places the organism in Eukaryota, Metazoa, Chordata, Aves, Psittaciformes, Psittacidae. The record is from Ensembl.
GGAAUAUUCCGUUUAAAAUACGUUCUCUUGAGUGUAGAAAGCAAAACAUAGCAACAUAUUUAUUUAUUUAAUUUCUAAAGGGUUUUCGGAGAUCUGGCUUUGCUCGGUCAUCAUGUCUUUAGAAACAAAACAGCAAAGCCAAGGUCACUUCUAUGUCUAGUUUAUGGAAAGGACAAAGCCUCCCCACUCUGUAACGCUGAGGUGCCACGCAGGCAGAUGUGGGGUUCAGACCGGGUGACCCUGAAAUGCCUCUAUUCCAGUGCUUGCUUUUAUAAAGGCAUUUUGAGAAGGUGCUUCUUUUUGCCACCAAAAAUAAUAAGAUUAAGAAUAGCCAAAACCCUGGGAAAACAGGAGAUUGAUUUAUAAAGCUGGGGAGGAAAAAGUCUGAACUGGAUUUCACGCUGGUGGAGAGAAGGUGAAUCUUUCACGUUCUGAGAGAAGAAAAUGCCUCGUUGAAGUAUCUUGUUAACUGUAGGGUUGUUCUAUUUGCCAAACACAAUGUUCAUGCACGCUUUUUAACCACAUCUCUGCAAACUGAAUGGUGAUAACGGCAUUCCUUCGUAAGGAAGAGGUUUAAAGGAUGCUCUAAUUGGCAUCAGCAGAGGGGGAGCUGCUGUAUCCUCAAAUGGGAUAAGUAAUGCUGGGUGAUAGUUUGGCUGUUUCCUGCCGAGGUCUGGAAGAAAUCCACAGGACUGCUGAUGAUUUUGGUUGAGAACUUGAACCCGCUGUUGAAGACUCAGUCGUUCCUUCACCGGAACGCGCCGUCACGCUUUUCCCUUGCUUUGCCUCCCAUUCCCGAGGGAACACCACGCUCCAUCGCCUGCGUGCUCUCCCUUGGUGCAGCCUUGGAGCUGCAGCGUGAAGUGAACAGGAUUUUGUUGUUUACUGGAGCUUUUACUCACCAGUUUGCACCCUUAGCCCAGCGCAGACGUUGUGCAGACCGUGGCCAAACGCUGGUUGACUCCCUACAUCCAUGGUGCAAGCGUUUAGUUGUAGCUUUCAGGUCGUUCGUGUAGACUUGUCCUCUCAAUAGACUCUGGAAGGCAUUUGCAGCUCAGGAAAGGAUCAUGCUAAAGGCAAUGUUGUGGGCAAAUUACCUUCUCUGGUCACCACCCUGGUCUUGGAGAUACCUGUUGAAACGGAGUAGUAGGGCUGGAAUGUUGGAUUUUGGCCUUUCUUCUGAAGAAAACCCCUUGUUGUAUCUUUAAUUUCAGGAUAGAAUGGGAAAGACACCAUUCCUACACGUGAUGAACAGCAUACAAUCUGUAUAUAUUGAAACUUUACAGAACUCUGUGGGUUGGGUGGGGAGGAGGGCGGGAGGGGGGUGUCCAGCGCUGGUACGAAGUAGUCACUUUAACAUUGAAACCUCUGCCUCAUUGAAUUCAGGGUUUAAUGUACUUGAAGCUCUGCGGUUCCUUAUACAGCUUCUUUUAUUUUUUGUUGUUGUUCCUUUUAUUUAUACAUCCUUCUUUUUGUAUGCUCCAUUGAAAAUGUCUUUUGACUUCCCUCAAGUUCCUUCCUGCUCCCGCUGGACAGCGAAUCUGUGGCACACGGAAGGGGGAGUUUGCAGGCUCGAGAGGCGGCAACGUGGGGUGAUGCCGUUCAGCUUUCGGGUUUCCCUCGGCUUUCCCCUGCCAUUUACCUUUGUGUAGCAAAACCCAUUUGCACUUACGAUGCACUCCUCCACGUUGGAUGUAUUCACAAUGGUCUGAGUAUAAAAAAGGUAAAAAAACCCUAAAAAAAGGUGUUUUCUGUUACGUUCUAUUCCUGAGUGUCGAGCUCAGGUUUUAUUACCCCGUGAGGGGCUGUCUCGCUGCGCUGUGGGGAGAGGGACGCGGAACCUCUGUGCUUUGCACAGCAGACUUGGUGUGGUUCAUGUGAACUCCAAAAGGGAAAUCAUGUUGGAAUUUGCCAAAGCCAUCCUCUCCUUCACCGGCUCUGCUGUGGUUCUGGCUCCCGGUUACCAACCGGCGAUAGGGAACCAUUCCCGAUCCACCACCCCGUGUAUCAUUCCCGCUGUCGCUUUUCCUUCUCCAUCCAAGGGUCUGUCGGGCGCGGGGCUGCUGUCGGGAUCCGACCCCGUUUGCACAACACAGGUACGUGCAGAUCCCGUUUCCAUGCCCGUGCGCUCUCGAGCGGACCGGUGAGGAUGCCCCUUUGUAGAGUCGUUCUUUCUGUAGACCUCGUUUAAUCUGUCCCAAUCUUUGUAGAUCCUGUGAAAUGUUCUUUUAACGAAAUCACUCGAGUCUUUAAUAGCAAAAGCAUCAAUAUUCACUGAAGUCGGUAUCUUAAAAAGAGUUCUUGGGAGUCGACUAGAAGCUCUUGACACUAACGGAGUAGUGUUAACUUUCCCUGGCGAUGUUCCACUGGGGCAUUAACUGUAUUAUGACUUGAUGUUGCCGCAUAGACUUUGAGAUAUACGAUAUUUUGGGGGUUUUGUUGUUCGGCCUAUGUUCUCCUGCAUAGUGUGAAACCUGUAAAGCUUGGUUAACCCUGUACAUAGGUAGCUGACUGUCAACUAGUUAUAGCGUACCUAGAAUUGCCUGUAAUAUUUUAGCUUCUUACUGAAUGUGUGUGAUGGUAGGAACCAUAUAAUUUUUGUACAUUAUAUUUACGGAGAUGUUGCCUUUUUUUAUUUUACAAAUACUUUGGAAUUCAGAUGUGGUUUUUGCUUCCGUGAGGAUUCAUUUGGAAAGGUUUUUAAAUGACAUUCCACUGAUCUGAACUUUUGCUUGAGGUUGACUUCAAUAAAUCGUUCUGAAUGUUCCAACGACCAAAAA